CCUACGGGCGACAGCAGUGGGGAAUAUUGCGCAAUGGGCGAAAGCCUGACGCAGCGACGCCGCGUGAGGGAUGAAGGUCUUCGGAUCGUAAACCUCUGUCAGCAGGGAAGAACGGUCACUGUGCUAAUCAGCAGUGAAUUGACGGUACCUGCAAAGGAAGCACAGGCUAACUCCGUGCCAGCAGCCGCGGUAAUACGGAGGGUGCGAGCGUUAAUCGGAAUUACUGGGCGUAAAGCGAUCGUAGGCGGUAUGUCAAGUCAAGGGUGAAAUCCCCGCGCUCAACGUGGGAACUGCCUUUGAAACUGGCAGACUGGAGUGUGUGAGAGGAUAGUGGAAUUCCAGGUGUAGGAGUGAAAUCCGUAGAUAUCUGGAGGAACAUCAGUGGCGAAGGCGACUAUCUGGCACAUAACUGACGCUGAGGAGCGAAAGCGUGGGUAGCAAACAGGAUUAGAUACCCCGGUAGUC
This 465-nucleotide ribosomal RNA is filed under the name uncultured bacterium. Its description in RNAcentral is "partial 16S ribosomal RNA". It matches the Rfam family "Bacterial small subunit ribosomal RNA", at positions 338 to 795 of the family's 1533-position model. The record is from RNAcentral.